UAGAAAGGAAAAAAUGGUGAGAAAACACAGAGAGGUGCGAUAGAUAAUCUGAGAGAGAGAGAGAGAGAGAGAUGGAACAGACGGUCUGGGAAAGGAAAGAGGGAGAGAGAGUGUGGAGAGGCUUCGGAGAGGCUUCUAUUAGUGUAACAUAGUAACUCAUGGUGCAAUACACUAGAUAUGCACAGCGAGAGAUAAGGCUAACCAAAAAGGAAGGGUGGUCUUCUCUUUUCAUCCCAUCCCUGCAGACCCUCCCGCGAGCAGCUUAUCCACUCGAGACGACCCCGGUCCUGCCUCGCGCCCGACGCAGCUCCGCCCAAAACAGAUCGUGGCCUCCCUCUCGGGUUACGUGUAGAGCCAUCGCAAGCCCGCAACUCCAGUAGUGUGUUCCAGCGAGACCAUCUUGUUGCCAUUCCAUGGCCUGAGUCAGCCCAAUAACUCAGCAAUCCCAGUGAUAUCCAACAACGGUCAGCGAAUCUAGUGAAGAUGAAAGCAACCCAGGCGAGCUCCUGCAUGUCCGACGCCAAUUCUAGCAAGUACAGCGAGACACCGGCGUGGCCAACGUACCCAAGUGCCUGAGUGCCAUCCAGUUAUUUCACUGCGAUAAAAUUGGGUUGCUUCUCUUCCUUUUAAAGUUGUUCGCUCCAUAUUUUUGGUAUUUACUUUGUUUUGUUCUGAUGUGGUGAUCGCAAUCAAUUUGAUGCCGAGCACAAGGACACACAAAGGAAAAGAUACAAGCGGAUUGGGUAAAUCGAUCUGAACCGGUUUGGGCUCAAACGACGUCAAAGAUAUCAGGCACGUCACCCGAUCAUCUCCCUCUCCCUCUCACUCUCGCUCGGAGAGUUCUUCACAGAGAAGCAGCUCAUAAAUUCAAAAAGGCAGAGGUCUGUUCAUCUUCCACGGCAGCGGAAACCAGUCAUGCAAAAAAAAAAAACCAACAUGACAACCAAAAA
Molecule: long non-coding RNA, 950 nt
Filed under: Eucalyptus grandis
Lineage: Eukaryota; Viridiplantae; Streptophyta; Magnoliopsida; Myrtales; Myrtaceae
Description: long non-coding RNA (EGRA_LNC001738)
Source: RNAcentral